CGUGUAGGCGGUCAGGUAAGUUGGACGUGAAAGCUCCUGGCUCAACUAGGAGAGGUCGUUCAAAACUGCCUGGCUAGAGGGCGACAGAGGGAGGUGGAAUUCCCGGUGUAGUGGUGAAAUGCGUAGAUAUCGGGAGGAACACCAGUGGCGAAGGCGGCCUCCUGGGUCGCACCUGACGCUCAGACGCAAAAGCUAGGGGAGCGAACG
Molecule: ribosomal RNA, 207 nt
Filed under: uncultured bacterium
Lineage: Bacteria
Description: partial 16S ribosomal RNA
Rfam family: Bacterial small subunit ribosomal RNA
Source: RNAcentral